UUAACUAAAACCAAACAGAGGUAAAUUAAUGUUAAUAAUUUCAUUGGAUAAAUAUAGUCCUAGUUAAU
This 68-nucleotide transfer RNA is filed under the name Dolichoderus quadripunctatus. RNAcentral's name for it is "tRNA-Asn". Lineage: Eukaryota; Metazoa; Arthropoda; Insecta; Hymenoptera; Formicidae. The record is from RNAcentral. RNAcentral also lists the same sequence under 1 other name.